GGGGAUGUUGCUCAAAUGGUAGAUCGUUUGCUUUGCAUGCAAGAGGUACGGCGUUCGAUACCUUGCAUCUUCA
This 73-nucleotide transfer RNA is filed under the name Nelumbo nucifera (sacred lotus). It matches the Rfam family "tRNA". Rfam says of the family: Transfer RNA (tRNA) molecules are approximately 80 nucleotides in length. Their secondary structure includes four short double-helical elements and three loops (D, anti-codon, and T loops). The record is from Rfam by way of RNAcentral. Lineage: Eukaryota; Viridiplantae; Streptophyta; Magnoliopsida; Proteales; Nelumbonaceae.